UUCGCCCUUAGAGUUUGAUCCUGGCUCAGGACGAACUCUGGCGGCGUGCUUAACACAUGCAAGUCGAACGAGAAUCUGUGGAACGAGGAUUCGUCCAAGUGAAGCAGAGGACAGUGGCGGACGGGUGAGUAACGCGUGAGGAACCUGCCUUUCAGAGGGGGACAACAGUUGGAAACGACUGCUAAUACCGCAUAACACAUGGGUGUCGCAUGGCACUGAUGUCAAAGAUUUAUCGCUUCAAGAUGGCCUCGCGUCUGAUUAGCUGGUUGGCGGGGUAACGGCCCACCAAGGCGACGAUCAGUAGCCGGACUGAGAGGUUGAACGGCCACAUUGGGACUGAGAUACGGCCCAGACUCCUACGGGAGGCAGCAGUGGGGAAUAUUGGGCAAUGGGCGCAAGCCUGACCCAGCAACGCCGCGUGAAGGAAGAAGGCUUUCGGGUUGUAAACUUCUUUUAAGAGGGAAGAGCAGAAGACGGUACCUCUAGAAUAAGCCACGGCUAACUACGUGCCAGCAGCCGCGGUAAUACGUAGGUGGCAAGCGUUGUCCGGAUUUACUGGGUGUAAAGGGCGUGCAGCCGGGUCUGCAAGUCAGAUGUGAAAUCCAUGGGCUCAACCCAUGAACUGCAUUUGAAACUGUGGAUCUUGAGUGUCGGAGGGGCAAUUGGAAUUCCUAGUGUAGCGGUGAAAUGCGUAGAUAUUAGGAGGAACACCAGUGGCGAAGGCGGAUUGCUGGACGAUUAACUGACGGUGAGGCGCGAAAGUGUGGGGAGCAAACAGGAUUAGAUCCCCCGGUAGUCCCCCACUGUAAAACAAGGAAUGCUAGGUGUGCGGGGACUGACCCCCUGCGUGCCGCAGUAAACCCAAUAAGUAUUCCACCUGGGGAGUACGAUCGCAAGGUUGAAACUCAAAGGCAUUGACGGGGGCCCGCACAAGCGGUGGAUUAUGUGGUUUAAUUCGAAGCAACGCGAAGAACCUUACCAGGGUUUGACAUCCUGCUAACGAAGUAGAGAUACAUUAGGUGCCCUUCGGGGAAAGCAGAGACAGGUGGUGCAUGGUUGUCGUCAGCUCGUGUCGUGAGAUGUUGGGUUAAGUCCCGCAACGAGC
Molecule: ribosomal RNA, 1105 nt
Filed under: uncultured bacterium
Lineage: Bacteria
Description: bacterial SSU rRNA
Rfam family: Bacterial small subunit ribosomal RNA
Source: RNAcentral